This 446-nucleotide ribosomal RNA is filed under the name uncultured bacterium. Its description in RNAcentral is "partial 16S ribosomal RNA". It matches the Rfam family "Bacterial small subunit ribosomal RNA", at positions 338 to 795 of the family's 1533-position model. The record is from RNAcentral.
CCUACGGGCGGCAGCAGUCGAGAAUUAUUCACAAUGGGGGAAACCCUGAUGGUGCGACGCCGCGUGGGGGAAUGAAGGUCUUCGGAUUGUAAACCCCUGUCAUGUGGGAGCAAAUUAAAAAGAUAGUACCACAAGAGGAAGAGACGGCUAACUCUGUGCCAGCAGCCGCGGUAAUACAGAGGUCUCAAGCGUUGUUCGGAAUCACUGGGCGUAAGGCGUGCGUAGGCUGUUUCGUAAGUCGUGUGUGAAAGGCGCGGGCUCAACCCGCGGACGGCACAUGAUACUGCGAGACUAGAGUAAUGGAGGGGGAACCGGAAUUCUCGGUGUAGCAGUGAAAUGCGUAGAUAUCGAGAGGAACACUCGUGGCGAAGGCGGGUUCCUGGACAUUAACUGACGCUGAGGCACGAAGGCCAGGGGAGCGAAAGGGAUUAGAUACCCGAGUAGUC